GGAAGGGCAUAGCCCACUGGUAGAACAUCUGCUUUGCUUGCAGAAGGUCCCAGAUUCAAUUCCUGGCAUUUCCA
Molecule: non-coding RNA, 74 nt
Organism: Podarcis lilfordi (Lilford's wall lizard)
Lineage: Eukaryota; Metazoa; Chordata; Lepidosauria; Squamata; Lacertidae
Source: the annotation of a GenBank genome assembly